Molecule: non-coding RNA, 105 nt
Organism: Cinara cedri
Lineage: Eukaryota; Metazoa; Arthropoda; Insecta; Hemiptera; Aphididae
Source: the annotation of a GenBank genome assembly
ACAUUCAUAUCCGAUUAGUACUUUAUUAAUUAUAGACGUUUUAAUUUCAAGAAAAUAGGCGUGAAAACGGCUAUAAGUGAGAAAUUAUUCAUCGGAUAUGAAUGU